CCGAAGAUAAGAAAUAGGUUGAGAAAACUACUCAACUGAAAACACAGGCCACAUCUCAUGGACAAAGAAGGAUGCCACAGAAAGCGUGGUCCCAAACACAAAAGACAAAAUCAAGAGCCACGCAGAACAAUAAAAUAAGGAACAGUUCCCCAAAAGGCUCCAAUUAGAGAAUACUCACUGCUCCUGGAGUCAGCAUAGUUGUUUUAAAAAGUUCUGGCAUUUUUUAAAAUCCAACCAGAGAUAAGGCACAUUCUUCACUAUGUAAAAUAUUUAACUACAUGGUUAUUAUACAUUUUAAUAUAACUAUGAGCAAAAUAAAAUCAUUCAAUCAUUCACAUGUAAAAAUGAGCCUUUGGUUAUUAGAUAGAUAGAUAGAUACAUACAUACAUACAUACAUGCAUACAUACAUACAUGAUAAAUAGA
This 423-nucleotide long non-coding RNA is filed under the name Pan troglodytes (chimpanzee). RNAcentral describes it as "long non-coding RNA NONPTRT003002". The record is from RNAcentral. Lineage: Eukaryota; Metazoa; Chordata; Mammalia; Primates; Hominidae.